RNAcentral lists this transfer RNA (72 nucleotides) under Camelus bactrianus (Bactrian camel). It matches the Rfam family "tRNA". From Rfam's summary of the family: Transfer RNA (tRNA) molecules are approximately 80 nucleotides in length. The record is from Rfam by way of RNAcentral. RNAcentral also lists the same sequence under 2 other names. Lineage: Eukaryota; Metazoa; Chordata; Mammalia; Artiodactyla; Camelidae.
GGGGGUAUAGCUCAGUGGCAGAGUGCAUGCUUAGCAUGCAUGAGGUCCUAGGUUCAAGCCCCAGUUCUUCCA